AUUGAACGCUGGCGGCAUGCCUUACACAUGCAAGUCGAACGGCAGCACGGGAGCAAUCCUGGUGGCGAGUGGCGAACGGGUGAGUAAUAUAUCGGAACGUGCCCAGUCGUGGGGGAUAACGUAGCGAAAGCUACGCUAAUACCGCAUACGAUCUAUGGAUGAAAGCGGGGGAUCGCAAGACCUCGCGCGAUUGGAGCGGCCGAUAUCAGAUUAGGUAGUUGGUGAGGUAAAGGCUCACCAAGCCGACGAUCUGUAGCUGGUCUGAGAGGACGACCAGCCACACUGGGACUGAGACACGGCCCAGACUCCUACGGGAGGCAGCAGUGGGGAAUUUUGGACAAUGGGCGCAAGCCUGAUCCAGCAAUGCCGCGUGCAGGAUGAAGGCCUUCGGGUUGUAAACUGCUUUGUACGGAACGAAACGGUGAGCUCUAAUACAGUUUGCUAAUGACGGUACCGUAAGGAUAAGCACCGGCUAACUACGUG
RNAcentral lists this ribosomal RNA (483 nucleotides) under uncultured bacterium. RNAcentral describes it as "bacterial SSU rRNA". It matches the Rfam family "Bacterial small subunit ribosomal RNA", at positions 30 to 507 of the family's 1533-position model. The record is from RNAcentral.